UAGCGAGAGACGGUGCUAAAGUCGUCAUCCGUAGUGAGAGGGGCGUCCAAUAUUCUCGUAACGUCCAAGAUGUUAAGAAACUGCCAGAAUGCCUAAUAGAGCCAUCACGUGAUAUCCACGAAAAAAUGGAAGAAGUAGAAGAAACCGUGCAGCCCGGAAUUGAUUCACCCGAAAACUUACCAGGUGUUGAUCUGGAUCAUUCCACAACUAAGAUCGACGAUAACAUUCAACGCCCAAGAAGAAUAACGAAGAAGCCGAACAGAUUCAAAGACAUGAUACUAUUCAGCAUUUUUGAGUAGUUUGAGGAACACAAUGUACACCACACAGUGCAACCGCUGGCCCAUUCUCGAGAUCACAUUCAAGGAUUCAUUCUGUAUAACGGUACAAUGAAACAGCAAAAAAAAAAAAUGAUAUGAUAUUGAAGUAGAAAGACUAACAGAUUUGCUAACCAUAAUUUGAACAAUAAAUAUAUUUCGAACAAACAAAGUGGUAAAAAAAAACAAUAAAGUGAGAAAGGUGUUUAACAAGCAUAAGAAGAGAAUAUAGCGCAGAGAGUAGAAGCGAGAAGUAUUGUAGAGAAGAAACUUGUCAUGGAUAAAUCAUUAAAAUAAACGCCAUUAAAAUAUCCUGAGUUGUGACUUUGAA
Aedes aegypti (yellow fever mosquito) is the source of this 645-nucleotide long non-coding RNA. RefSeq lists it as uncharacterized. The record is from RefSeq and is a predicted model, not a curated record. The transcript has 2 exons. NCBI's taxonomy places the organism in Eukaryota, Metazoa, Arthropoda, Insecta, Diptera, Culicidae.